GAUGAACGCUGGCGGCGUGCCUAAUACAUGCAAGUCGAGCGAAUGGAUUGAGAGCUUGCUCUUAUGAAGUUAGCGGCGGACGGGUGAGUAACACGUGGGUAACCUGCCCAUAAGACUGGGAUAACUCCGGGAAACCGGGGCUAAUCCCGGAUAACAUUUUGAACCGCCUGGUUCGAAAUUGAAAGGCGGCUUCGGCUGUAACUUAUGGAUGGACCCGCGUCGCAUUAGCUAGUGGGUGAGGUAACGGCUCACCAAGGCAACGAUGCGUAGCCGACCUGAGAGGGUGAUCGGCCACACUGGGACUGAGACACGGCCCAGACUCCUACGGGAGGCAGCAGUUGGGAAUCUUCCGCAAUGGACGAAAGUCUGACGGAGCAACGCCGCGUGAGUGAUGAAGGCUUUCGGGUCGUAAAACUCUGUUGUUAGGGAAGAACAAGUGCUAGUUGAAUAAGCUGGCACCUUGACGGUACCUAACCAGAAAGCCACGGCUAACUACGUGCCAGCCGCCGCAGUAA
RNAcentral lists this ribosomal RNA (515 nucleotides) under uncultured bacterium. RNAcentral's name for it is "partial 16S ribosomal RNA". It matches the Rfam family "Bacterial small subunit ribosomal RNA", at positions 28 to 523 of the family's 1533-position model. The record is from RNAcentral.